GUGUUAUAUUCUCAGUGGAUGACUGGCAUGACAUGCGUGAAGUGUAGUCUCACCAGUGUCAAUACGAAAUUUUAUUUUCAUUAAAACGACACCCGUUUAGGAUUCCAUUACCAGUUAAUAAUUAUCGCAGCGGUUGCAAGAUCAGCCAGAAGCAAAUCAAUUCUAUGAAUGUUUUCCCAGUGUAAAAUAUGGUUACAUUAUUUGGAGUUAAAGCACAAUUUAAUGAAACAACGUGAGAUCAAUAACUGGGAUAUUAUUUGUAAUCGCUAUAAAUUCUUUCCGUAAACAUAGUUUAUGCACAUUUCAUUUAGUCAUUUGACUGCAGCCAUGCUGGAGCAACAACUUUAGUUGAACAAACCGACCCCAGGACAUUUUAUUUUUUGCUGGUCAAUGGUAGAGAAUGAGCCCUUUGAGAAGGCCUGUCAGGGACAACCUUGACCUUAGAUAUCAGUUCUUCAGCUCGUUGCCGUUCUGAUUGUCCACCCAGAGUAUCCAGUAUUGUCCAAAAGUGCCUCAUUGCAGUCUCGCAGCAGCAAAGCUUCUUCCCUGCAAUGGUCAAGAAAUAUCAAAGCAGUGAGCUGAAAACGGUGUGUGUGUGUGUGUGUGAGUGAGAGUGAGAGAGAGAGAGAAAGUUGUCAGAAAAUUGUGCUAACAAUAUGUUCAGCCUUAAAAAAAAAAAAAAACCUUUUUCUUGUUUAGAAAUAAAGUAAGGAUUUGAUAUAAAUGCAAAAUAAUAAUAAUAAUAAUAAUAAUAGUCCAUUUUACUAAAGGCACAAAUCCUGAUAUUUUGUGGAAGGGGCUUAGUCAAUUACAUCAACCCCAAUGUGCAACUGGUACUUAUUUUAUCAACCCUGGAGGGAUGAAAGGCAGAGUGAGCCUUGACAGAAUUUGAACUCAGAACAAAAGGAUAGAUGAAAUACCACUAAACGUUUUGGCAGCUAACAAUUCUGCCAAAUGAUAACAACAACAACAACAAUUGUUCCUACUACAAGCACAAGGCCCUGAAACUUUGAGAGAGGGGACUAGUCGAUUACAUUGACCCCCAGUGUUUCACUGGUACUUAAUUUAUUGAUCCUGAAAGGCAAAUCGGCCCCAGCAGAAUUUGAACUCAGAACAUUAAGACAGGCAAAAAGCUGCUAAGCAUUUCACCCGAAUAAUAAUAAUAAUAAUAAUUUCUAUGAUAGGCACAAGACUUGGAAUUUGGGGGAAGGGAAUAGUUGAUUACAUUGACUCCAGUUCUCAACUGGUACUUAUUUUAUUGAACACCAAAAGAAUGAAAAGCAAAGCUAUCCCCGGCGGCAUUUGAACUCGAAAUGUGAAGACAUUGAAAUACAGUUAAGCAUUUCACCUGACAUGCUAACAUUUCUGCUAGCUCACCACAAUAAUAAUAAUAAUGAUUACUGGAAGCACAAGGCCUAAAAUUUGGGGGAAGGGAUUGAUCAUAUUGACCCCAGUGCACAACUGGUACUUAUUUAAUCGAUGCUGAAAGGAUGAAAAGCAAUGUUGACCUCGGUGGAAUUUGAACUCAGAACAUAGUGACAGACAAAAAUACAGCUCAACAUUUUGUCUGGCGUGCUAACGAUUCUGCCAACUCCCCGCCUUAAUAAUAAUAAUAAUAAUUCUUUCCACUAUUGGCAUAAGGCCUUAUAAUAAUAAUAACCGUUUCUAAUUUUUGCAUAAAGGGAGCAAUUUUGAUGAAAAGGGGUAAGUUAAUCUGAUCGACAACAGUGAUCAACUGGUACUUAAUUUAUUGACCCUGAAAGGAUGAAAGGCAAAGCUGAUCUUAGUAGCAUUUGAACUCACAACAUAAAGAUCCAAAAGAAAUAUUGCUAAGCAUUUUGUCUGACAUGCUAACAAUUCAGGUAGCACAAUAAUUGUUAGAAAAAUGAUGAGAGGAAGUUGGUCGACUAAAUUCCCACCAUGCCAUCCUGUACAGAGAGGACAUGCUGGAUAAUGUAAUCCAAGAUACACAAUGCCUAGGAAAAAGAAUGUGUGAUCAUUACUGGAAUGUCAGUGAGCCUAGAUCUGUCAGCAGGUAUCCGGACUCACCUGGGACCUAAGAAAAACAACAACAAUUACAUCAUACAGAAGAGCUGGGAAACCAACUUUUGUGCCACUCCCGCACACCACCGUUCAAUCACAAACACUACUACCGCCACCCUGACAACAUCAUCACUAAUAUGACAACUACCACUACUUCUACUACUACCACCGCCACCACUACCCCACCAACACCAACACUACGGCCUCAUCGUCCACCUCUUACUGCCACCCUCAGCAUUCAAUCACAACUACUACCAUCAUUGUUACUACAUCAACCACCCCAAUACAACUGUCUCCACUGUUACUGCUACCACCACCACCACCACCACCACGACCACGAUGAAGUGUCGUUUCUUCAAAAGAAGAAGUGAACCUUGGCUCCAGGAGAGAAAUCUUUACCUACGUCAACAGUUGUCAUGGUGCCAUUAUAUUACACAUUUCCGAAGAGUAACCAUGCUACGCAUAAAAAAUUCAGCAGAACUGUCAGACCAAUAAAAUAGAUACUAGGCUUACAAGGAAUAAGUCCUGGGGUGAUUUAUUCGACUAA
Octopus bimaculoides (California two-spot octopus) is the source of this 2590-nucleotide long non-coding RNA. Lineage: Eukaryota; Metazoa; Mollusca; Cephalopoda; Octopoda; Octopodidae. The record is from RefSeq and is a predicted model, not a curated record.